Molecule: long non-coding RNA, 234 nt
Filed under: Elaeis guineensis (African oil palm)
Lineage: Eukaryota; Viridiplantae; Streptophyta; Magnoliopsida; Arecales; Arecaceae
Description: long non-coding RNA (EGUI_LNC035899)
Source: RNAcentral
GGUGUGGGGACUUCUUCUAGGCGUGAGAGGCUGCUGGUUUGGAUGCUCUAGGGAAGUUAGGGGAGAUCCCUUUAAAUAGGCAUGAGGAUUGAAUCUUAUUCAAUCUCAUAAUACAAGUCCUACUUGCAUUAGAUUUCCUAUUAACUUAAGUUAUCCAACUUACUUUAGGAGAUCCUUUAGAUGCCAAUAAUUGGAGCUCUUGUACCCAUAAUUAGACAUCCCAAAAUAUACCCA